AGUGAACGUUGGCGGCGUGCCUAACACAUGCAGGUCGAACGAUUCCCGAGUGGCUUGCCAUUCGGGAAAAGUGGCGAACGGGUGAGUAACACGUGAGUAAUCUUCCCUCGAGUGAGGAAUAAUUCCGCGAAAGCGGGACUAAUACCGCAUAAUACUCUGGAGCAUAUGUUUUCAGAGUCAAAGCUUUCCGAGCAAUCGGAAGGCGCUUGAGGACGAGCUCGCGGCCUAUUAGCUAGUUGGUAGGGUAAUGGCCUACCAAGGUGAUGAUGGGUAGCCGGCUUGAGAGGGUGUACGGCCACACUGGGACUGAGACACGGCCCAGACUCCUACGGGAGGCAGCAGUGGGGAAUUUUGCGCAAUGGGCGAAAGCCUGACGCAGCGACGUCGCGUGGAGGAUGAAGGCUUUCGAGUUGUAAACUCCUGUCAGAGGAGAAGAAGUCCCGAGUAAUCGGGAUUGACGGUAUCCUCAGAGGAAGCCCCGGCUAACUACGUGCCAGCAGCCGCGGUAAUACGUAGGGGGCGAACGUUGCUCGGAAUUAUUGGGCGUAAAGGGUGUGCAGGUGGCUGAGCAAGUCAAAGAUGAAAUCCCAAGGCUCAACCUUGGAAUUGUCUUUGAAACUGUUCAGCUUGAGGAUAACUGAGGAGGACGGAAUUCCCGGUGGAGCGGUGAAAUGCGUUGAUAUCGGGAGGAACACCAGAGGCGAAGGCGGUUCUCUAAGUUAUUCCUGACACUGAGACACGAAAGCUAGGGGAGCAAACGGGAUUAGAUACCCCGGUAGUCCACGCCCUAAACGGUGGGCACUAGGUGUGGGAGGUAUCGACCCCUUCCGUGCCGCAGCUAACGCAUUAAGUGCCCCGCCUGGGGAGUACGACCGCAA
This 878-nucleotide ribosomal RNA is filed under the name uncultured bacterium. Its description in RNAcentral is "bacterial SSU rRNA". It matches the Rfam family "Bacterial small subunit ribosomal RNA", at positions 28 to 891 of the family's 1533-position model. The record is from RNAcentral.